RNAcentral lists this ribosomal RNA (362 nucleotides) under uncultured bacterium. Its description in RNAcentral is "partial 16S ribosomal RNA". It matches the Rfam family "Bacterial small subunit ribosomal RNA", at positions 338 to 698 of the family's 1533-position model. The record is from RNAcentral.
CCUACGGGGGACAGCAGUGAGGAAUAUUGGUCAAUGGCCGGAAGGCUGACCCAGCCAAGUCGCGUGAGGGACGACUGCCCUCUGGGUUGUAAACUUCUUUUAUAAGGGAAGAAUAACUGCGACGUGUAGCCGGAUGCCUGUACCUUAUGAAUAAGCAUCGGCUAACUCCGUGCCAGCAGCCGCGGUAAUACGGAGGAUGCGAGCGUUAUCCGGAUUUAUUGGGUUUAAAGGGUGCGUAGGCGGGUUGUUAAGUCAGUGGUAAAACGUCGGGGCUUAACCUUGAUUUGACAUUGAUACUGGAUGACGCGAGGUCAGACGAGGUAGGCGGAAUAAGUUGAGUAGCGGUGAAAUGCUUAGAUAUA